AUAAAAACAUCUUUGUUCUUUCGCUCUUGCUCAGGGUAACGGGAAGACCUGGCCUUGAAGGUGUUCCAUAAUGAAAUCACUCAGGGCAAAUGGUGAUAGUAGGAGAGUGCACUUUGCCAACAGUGAAGUCGGAUCUGAAGAAGAGAAUGAGGCAGACCUACUCCUGCCUACUACUUUGGUGUUCUCUUACCUGCUAAGUAUGCACGUCAACUACUUUGGUGUUCUCUUACCUGCUAAGUAUGCACGUCAACCUCAUCCAGAAACAAGGCUGUCAGUACCACAAAAGUGUCCUGCCUUCCUUCCCCUGCUGUCAUUACCCCACCUUAAACUAUACAUUAGCUUUGACAGUAUUUGAACUAUUUUAAGACAUAUAAUAUUGUUUUAUUUGGAUCUAUCGUGUGUGUGUGUGUGUGUGAGAGAGAGAGAGAGAGAGAGAGAGAGAGAGAGAGAGAGAGAGAGAGAGGAGAGUCAUUUAUGUGGCAGCUAUCUGUGUUCAUUUGACUUACCUAUUUCUGUGUGAAUAAAGGACACGUUAUCCAUUU
Molecule: non-coding RNA, 542 nt
Organism: Rattus norvegicus (Norway rat)
Lineage: Eukaryota; Metazoa; Chordata; Mammalia; Rodentia; Muridae
Source: RefSeq, a predicted model, not a curated record